CUCGGUGGCAGGAAGAGGAGCACUGUGGCUAGGAUCUGGCAGAGUAGAGUAGGUUUGGGCCAGGCUGCUCCGCUUCCCGCUGCUGCCGGGAACCAAAGCUGGUCUCGAUGGCUGCUAGAUGCCAGGAUUUCUUCCCACCUACCCCAAUUUUUUUUAAGAAGACAAGCUGACAGUUUUUCUACCCACGUGAGCUUUUCCUUUGAUGAUGCUGAAUGUAGACACUGUGGUGAUUAUAGUGCUGUGAUUGGCCUCCAGCAGGUGUCCCACAAUGCCUGUUCUCAUC
Molecule: long non-coding RNA, 283 nt
Organism: Gopherus evgoodei (Goodes thornscrub tortoise)
Lineage: Eukaryota; Metazoa; Chordata; Testudines; Testudinidae
Exons: 3
Source: RefSeq, a predicted model, not a curated record